Cebus imitator (Panamanian white-faced capuchin) is the source of this 1028-nucleotide non-coding RNA. The record is from the annotation of a RefSeq genome assembly. NCBI's taxonomy places the organism in Eukaryota, Metazoa, Chordata, Mammalia, Primates, Cebidae.
AGCAUGCUGUUUGAGAGUGGUGGUGGUGGGGGGGGAAGCUUGAUUGGAGUAUGUUGAGACAUAAUGGGAAAAGAGAAUUUGGAGGUAAGUAUUGAUCAUUAGCAAUAGCAACAAGAGCUACCAUAAGUCGAAAUGCCCCACAGUCUUUGGGGAUGUGAUACAUGAGGGAAGGCAGGGCUAGAUAGGAUGGGGUAGGAUCAAGAUAUCAGACGCAGGAGCUAUGAAUGGUGACUUCUUGAUGAAGGUAUAUAUCAGGUUAACACACAGUCAAAUGCAUAAACAGGUUGAUUUUAAUUGAUGUCAAUUUUUCUCCAUUGCCCCCUCUAGAGGCAAUGUUCUUUGGAGAAUCCCGGCUGGGUCUUCUCCUUUCCAUGCCCCUAGAGGGAGCUCCUGAGGCUGUGGACAUUGGUUAACAUGCUGACAUCACUGGAGGCCACAUCUUACAGGGCCAAGAGACAGAUUUGCUUGCCUUUUUCUCAUGCUUGCAAGCUCACUCAUCUGGAAAUGUGAUUUACCUCAGUCCUGCCAUGGUUUCCAGGCUUCUCAGUUUAGUGUCCCUUUGUCUCCUGGGAGCAAAGCACACAGCUGCUGGAGUUACUCAGUUCCCCAGCCACAGGGUAAUAGAGAAGGGCCAGGCUGUGACUCUGGGAUGUGACCCAAUUUCUGGACAUGAAUAUCUGCAUUGGUAUCGACGUGUUAUGGGAAAAGAAAUAAAAUUUCUGAUAAACUUUCUGAGAGACUCUAAACAGGAUGAGUCCGGUAUGCCCAAUAGUCGAUUCUCAGCUGAAAGGACCGGAGGGACAAAUUCCACUCUGAAGGUGCAGCCUGCAGAACUGGAGGAUUCUGGAAUUUAUUUCUGUGCCAGCAGCCUAGACACAGUGCUUCACAGUCAUGCCCUCGCUGUGCAAAACCAUAGCCUUCUCUCAACUCACACCUGCCCAAAAGGAAGGCUUUCCCUGUGCCUCCUCCCCCAAGGAAGGGGAGAUAAAGAACCAGAAUUAACUCUUGAAAAUACAAGAGUAUUCUAA